UACGUAGGGGGCGAGCGUUGUCCGGAUUUACUGGGCGUAAAGAGCGCGUAGGUCGGAAGCUUAAGUGUGGCCUGAAAGCCCCCCGGCCCAACCGGGGAGGGUGGCUGCAAACUGGGCUUCUAGAGGGGGAUAGAGGAAAGUGGAAUUCCGGGGUGUAGCGGUGAAAUGCGUAGAGAUCCGGAGGAACACCAGUGGCGAAGGCGGCUUUCUGGGUCCGCCCCUGACGCUGAGGCGCGAAAGCGU
Molecule: ribosomal RNA, 243 nt
Filed under: uncultured bacterium
Lineage: Bacteria
Description: partial 16S ribosomal RNA
Rfam family: Bacterial small subunit ribosomal RNA
Source: RNAcentral